CAACAUGUAUAAAUCUUUAUUAGCAUCCUAGUGAGACAAUGAGUAGAUUCCAGAGUUUACAGUCUUAAUUAAGCCUCUUAAGGCCAUUUUUCUAAACAAGUUGCAGAAGGGAACCUGUGUGCUAUGUGUCUGUGAGAUGCAUUAUCCAAUUUCAGUUGAUAUUCUGACACAAUUGUGGGGGUAGAGAUCCAAAAACUGAAGUCCUAGAUUUUAAUUAUGUCUGUUCAUGAGUAUUCUUAAUUCCUAUGUUCUAAUGCUCAUACGAAAAACCUGGUGAUGAGUCUAAAUCUCAGUACUGGAAGACAUUAGAAGUGAAAGGUAU
This 322-nucleotide long non-coding RNA is filed under the name Bos taurus (domestic cattle). Its description in RNAcentral is "long non-coding RNA NONBTAT017487". Lineage: Eukaryota; Metazoa; Chordata; Mammalia; Artiodactyla; Bovidae. The record is from RNAcentral.